RNAcentral lists this ribosomal RNA (446 nucleotides) under uncultured bacterium. RNAcentral's name for it is "partial 16S ribosomal RNA". It matches the Rfam family "Bacterial small subunit ribosomal RNA", at positions 354 to 796 of the family's 1533-position model. The record is from RNAcentral.
GUAAGGAAUAUUGGUCAAUGGGCGGAAGCCUGAACCAGCCAUGCCGCGUGCAGGAAGACGGCCUUAUGGGUUGUAAACUGCUUUUAUACGGGAGUAAACUAACCUACGUGUAGGAUAUUGCAAGUACCGUAUGAAUAAGCAUCGGCUAACUCCGUGCCAGCAGCCGCGGUAAUACGGAGGAUGCAAGCGUUAUCCGGAUUCAUUGGGUUUAAAGGGUGCGUAGGCUGGCGCUAUAAGUCAGGGGUGAAAAGCAUAGGCUCAACUUAUGCACUGCCUUUGAUACUGUAGUCCUAGAGUGCAAAUGAGGUUGGCGGAAUGUGUAGUGUAGCGGUGAAAUGCAUAGAUAUUACACAGAACACCGAUAGCGAAGGCAGCUAACCAAGAUGCAACAGACGCUGAGGCACGAAAGCGUGGGGAUCAAACAGGAUUAGAUACCCUGGUAGUCC